Molecule: long non-coding RNA, 2480 nt
Organism: Planococcus citri (citrus mealybug)
Lineage: Eukaryota; Metazoa; Arthropoda; Insecta; Hemiptera; Pseudococcidae
Exons: 7
Source: RefSeq, a predicted model, not a curated record
UAUCAUCAAAAUUUGACAAAAUUCUCUAAAAAUUGCAUGAAACUUUGUUAAAACAUAAUUUUUUAAAUUUCAAAAAAAUAUCUUGAAAAUAUCAAAAUUUGGCGAAAUUUUAUGAAAAUUAAGCAGUACACAAAACAUCACCUAAAGAUGCUGUUAAAUUUUUCAGAAUAACCAAAAUCAGUAACAUUUGUCAAAAUUUAGCAAAAUUUGCAUAGAACAUUAUGAAAUAAUAUUAGAGUCAAAAAUUUGUCCUCUUCAGGUCAAUAAAACACUCCCAUUUCUUGAGCUUCGGCGUUUGAAAUUCCUACACUUUGAAUUUUUUAAUUCUUGGAAGAAAAUAUUCCGAAAAAACUUUUAACAAAUGAAUUUUUCGUACACAAGUAGGUAUUUCAAAUCAAAAAAAUAUUUUCCCUCCCCUCCCCCUCCGUUUUGAAAGAUUUAAAAAAUUGGAAAAAGUGGUCUGGCUGACAGACUGGACACCCUGUAUUGAACACAUCUUUAAAAAUAUUGACUGGCAUUAAAAAAAAAAAUCACUCGAAAAAUAGUCUGCAAAAAGACCUAGGGCCUAGGAGGUGGGGACAAGAGAGAAAGAAUUAAAUGGACAUGUCCUCUUACGCUAUAACACAUUCGUCUAAAACACGUACGAAGUUCACACGAGUAUUAUCCAUUACACCUUUUAAAUUUAUCCGUAUCGAAAAUAUUAAUAGAGUAGGAGAAAAAAGAACAAUAAUUCGCGCCAAUACAUGCGUUUAUUUUAUUCGACAAAAUGAAAACGCCAUGAUGAAAAAAAAAAAAACGAAUCGAUGAAAAAAAUGGAAGACAACGGCGCGUAAAAAAUUAUUACAUUGAUGCUAUAAUCACCUAGGAGUAUUUGAAACCAUACAUGUUGAAAGAACAAAAAAAAAAUGAAUACAGAGAUGCAUUCGAGGGAGGAGACGACGCUCAGAUGAAAAUUGCGAUGCGCUGGGCACAGCAUCCUCGUACGGUCCAUGUCUGAGAGGGCAGGGAAAAGAGGAAGCCCUAUUGUAACGCUGAUUAUCGGUUUUUGCGCACGAUUUGAAAUUUACUUUCGUCUCGUAUUAUUGGCUAACGUAUGUGCUGGUUUUGCUUUUUGAUUCGCAGAGUUGACCGCACAGACUGGAGCCGAAUGCAGACGAUUAAUAGGACCAGAUACACGCUUGUUGUGAAACGAAGAAGCGAUUUUGCGCCGUAAAUGUCCGAUAAGGCAAUUGCAAGAGUACAUAUAGCCAUUGAGAGUAUAUUGUUUCGCUGCAUCGUCUGACGCGAACAAAUAAAUAGUGCUGGAAGAGAUGUCUGCUGGAGAGUUUUUUUUUCUCCUCGUUGACCAACUAGGAAUGGAAAUGAGGAGCUGCGGUGUACUAGGAUGAAUUAAUAGAGUCAGGAGGACCGUAAGUCACCGAUGUAAUCCUUUAAAUCAACGUCGUCGUCGAAUGAAACACCUGCGACUACUGGGAGAUCUCGACGAGCUUUGCAGAGUUCAUUUUUCUACGAUGUGUAUAAAUUCCACCUGUGUUCGGAUGCUGAUUUAGUGGCAACGAUUACGAGUGCUCAUUUCGAUCCUCAUCAAGUGCUGGUUUCCGUAUUCAAGAAUUUGCAUAAUUGUGAUUUAUUACAACAUAUCGUAUGUUGUUACAAAUCAAGACGAAACUUUGGACACGUAUUUGGAAUGACUACUGGCUCAAUUGAUGUAGAAAAUUCACAGUCGAUGUAACGAAAUGGCCAAAACGUGAAUACGUUCUCAGCAACAUCGGAUAAACUUUGAUGGCAGUGAAAUUCAAACCGUGUUGGGUCUGGCAAAGAAACAGGACACGUAUUAUGAAUCACUACUGGCUCAAUUGAUGUAGAAAAUUCACAGUCGAUUGAACGAAAUUGCCAAAACGUGAAUACGUUCUCAGCAACAUCGGAUAAACUUUGAUGGCAGUGAAAUUCAGACCGUGUUGGGUUUGGCAAAGAAACAGGAUAUCUGGAACGACUACCGACUCAAUUGAUGUAGAAAAUUCACAGUCGAUGAAACGAAAUGACAAAAACGUGAAAAUGUUCUCAGCAACAUCGGAUAAACCUUUAUGGAAGUGAAAUUCAGAUCGUGUUGCGUUUGGCAAAGAAACAGGUACCUCGUCUCAAGAAAUCAGCCACGAUGAAUUCCUCCACAAUCGACUCAACCAGCCUGGAACCAAAUCCAGAGCCACCACUUCGAACCACCAAAAUGAAAAAAAAAGGCAAUCAUACAGACAGACGAUAAAACACAUCCGCAAUCAUCCAUCUCUCCAGAGUCCAAAACGUUGAAAAACUCUAACCAAACCACUUGAAAAAUAAAAAAAAUGCAGCAAAGAUGCGUCUGAAGUACAUACCUACACAUAGAAGGCGAUCUAGAGAGACUAUAGGAACUCGGACAAGGGACGAAAACUCCUCCAGAGACCGAAAAAUACAGAUACAUAAUCAGCUCAGCUGGCCCCGUAAGU